AGCUCCAGUAGCGUAUAUUAAAGUUGUUGCAGUUAAAAAGCUCGUAGUUGAACUUUGGGUCUGGUUGGCCGGUCCGAUUUUAUGUCGCGCACUGGUUUUCAACCGGAUCUUUCCUUCUGGCUAACCUGUACUCCUUGUGGGUGCAGGCGAACCAGGACUUUUACUUUGAAAAAAUUAGAGUGUUCAAAGCAGGCGAAAGCUCGAAUAUAUUAGCAUGGAAUAAUGGAAUAGGACGUUUGGUUCUAUUUUGUUGGUUUCUAGGACCAUCGUAAUGAUUAAUAGGGACGGUCGGGGGCAUCAGUAUUCAAUUGUCAGAGGUGAAAUUCUUGGAUUUAUUGAAGACUAACUACUGCGAAAGCAUUUGCCAAGGACGUUUUCA
This 379-nucleotide ribosomal RNA is filed under the name uncultured eukaryote. Its description in RNAcentral is "SSU rRNA". It matches the Rfam family "Eukaryotic small subunit ribosomal RNA", at positions 587 to 972 of the family's 1831-position model. RNAcentral also lists the same sequence under 1 other name. The record is from RNAcentral.